RNAcentral lists this unclassified non-coding RNA (255 nucleotides) under Lecanicillium sp. Its description in RNAcentral is "partial contains 5.8S ribosomal RNA, internal transcribed spacer 2, and large subunit ribosomal RNA". The record is from RNAcentral. Lineage: Eukaryota; Fungi; Ascomycota; Sordariomycetes; Hypocreales; Cordycipitaceae.
CGCACAUUGCGCCCGCCAGUAUUCUGGCGGGCAUGCCUGUUCGAGCGUCAUUUCAACCCUCAAGCCCUACCUUGUGAACGGCUUGGUGUUGGGGAUCGGCAGCUUUGCCGUCCCCUAAAAGUAUUGGCGGCCCUCCGAGGCGACCUCUGCGUAGUAACUUACCUCGCACUGGGAAGCUUGGAGCGGCCACGCCGUAAAACCCCCGACUUUUAUAAGGUUGACCUCGAAUCAGGUAGGACUACCCGCUGAACUUAA